RNAcentral lists this transfer RNA (72 nucleotides) under Phrynosoma platyrhinos (Desert horned lizard). RNAcentral describes it as "tRNA-OTHER". The record is from RNAcentral. Lineage: Eukaryota; Metazoa; Chordata; Lepidosauria; Squamata; Phrynosomatidae.
GCCAGUGUGACAUAGUGGUUUGAGUGUUGGACUAGAACUCUGGAGACCAGGGUUCGAAUCCUGGCUCGGCCA